AUAAAUAUAGCUUAUGAAGCAUCGGUUUUGUAAAUCGAAGAUGUGCAAAACUAUUUAUAU
This 60-nucleotide transfer RNA is filed under the name Karaftohelix adamsi. Its description in RNAcentral is "tRNA-Thr". It matches the Rfam family "tRNA". Rfam says of the family: Transfer RNA (tRNA) molecules are approximately 80 nucleotides in length. The record is from RNAcentral. Lineage: Eukaryota; Metazoa; Mollusca; Gastropoda; Stylommatophora; Camaenidae.